RNAcentral lists this transfer RNA (77 nucleotides) under Aureispira sp. RNAcentral's name for it is "tRNA-Ile". It matches the Rfam family "tRNA". From Rfam's summary of the family: Transfer RNA (tRNA) molecules are approximately 80 nucleotides in length. The record is from RNAcentral. Lineage: Bacteria; Pseudomonadati; Bacteroidota; Saprospiria; Saprospirales; Saprospiraceae. RNAcentral also lists the same sequence under 2 other names.
GGUCUUAUAGCUCAGUUGGUUAGAGCAGCGGACUCAUAACCCGCUGGUCCCUGGUUCGAGUCCAGGUGGGACCACCA